This 465-nucleotide ribosomal RNA is filed under the name uncultured Klebsiella sp. Its description in RNAcentral is "bacterial SSU rRNA". It matches the Rfam family "Bacterial small subunit ribosomal RNA", at positions 338 to 795 of the family's 1533-position model. The record is from RNAcentral. Lineage: Bacteria; Pseudomonadati; Pseudomonadota; Gammaproteobacteria; Enterobacterales; Enterobacteriaceae.
CCUACGGGGGGCAGCAGUGGGGAAUAUUGCACAAUGGGCGCAAGCCUGAUGCAGCCAUGCCGCGUGUGUGAAGAAGGCCUUCGGGUUGUAAAGCACUUUCAGCGGGGAGGAAGGCGGUGAGGUUAAUAACCUCAUCGAUUGACGUUACCCGCAGAAGAAGCACCGGCUAACUCCGUGCCAGCAGCCGCGGUAAUACGGAGGGUGCAAGCGUUAAUCGGAAUUACUGGGCGUAAAGCGCACGCAGGCGGUCUGUCAAGUCGGAUGUGAAAUCCCCGGGCUCAACCUGGGAACUGCAUUCGAAACUGGCAGGCUGGAGUCUUGUAGAGGGGGGUAGAAUUCCAGGUGUAGCGGUGAAAUGCGUAGAGAUCUGGAGGAAUACCGGUGGCGAAGGCGGCCCCCUGGACAAAGACUGACGCUCAGGUGCGAAAGCGUGGGGAGCAAACAGGAUUAGAUACCCGGGUAGUC